RNAcentral lists this ribosomal RNA (494 nucleotides) under uncultured bacterium. Its description in RNAcentral is "partial 16S ribosomal RNA". It matches the Rfam family "Bacterial small subunit ribosomal RNA", at positions 28 to 507 of the family's 1533-position model. The record is from RNAcentral.
GACGAACGCUGGCGGCGCGCUUAACACAUGCAAGUCGAACGGAAAGGCCUGCUUUCCCUUGUGGAUUGCGGGUACUCGAGUGGCGAACGGGUGAGUAACACGUGAGUGAUCUGCCCCCAACUUGGGUAUAAGCCUGGGAAACUGGGGCUAAUUCCCGAUAGGACUGCAGGGUGGUGCCUGUGGUGGAAAACGAUUUUCUAGUGGUUGGGGAUGAGCUCGCGGCCUAUCAGCUUGUUGGUGGGGUAAUGGCCUACCAAGGCGGCGACGGGUAGCCGGCCUGAGAGGGUGGACGGCCACAUUGGGACUGAGAUACGGCCCCGACUCCUACGGGAGGCAGCAGUGGGGACUCUUGCACAGUGGGCGGAAGCCUGAUGCAGCGACGCCGCGUGGGGGAUGCCGGCCUUCGGGUGGUAAACUCCUUUCGACCGCGAGGAAGCCACCUGGUUGGAAGGGUGGUGACGGUAGUGGUAGAAGAAGCACCGGCUAACUACGUG